ACUAGCUUUCUAAAGAUUAAAAUGUUUUGAAGUUAGUGAGGCGGUUGUACCGAACACCUUAUCUUAUCAAGAGGCAUGGGAAAUGUCAUAUUUAGGGGCAAAUGUUUUAUACCCUCGAACUAUCAUUCCAGUGAUGCAGUAUGACAUUCCGAUCGUUAUAAGAAACAUCUUCAACCUCUCUGCACCUGGAACAAAAAAUUGCAGGGCACCCAUCAUUGAAGCUGAAGUAAAACAGGACUCGGUAGCUUAUGUAAAAGGCUUUGCAACCAUAGACAACUUGGCCCUUGUAAAUGUCGAGGGAACUAGAAUGGCUGGUGUUCCGGGUACAGCAAGUGCCAUUUUUGCGGCUGUUAAAGAUGUUGGAGCUAAUGUCAUCAUGAUUUCUCAGGUAUGUUUCUCUAGUGUC
Helianthus annuus (common sunflower) is the source of this 406-nucleotide long non-coding RNA. RefSeq lists it as uncharacterized. The record is from RefSeq and is a predicted model, not a curated record. The transcript has 3 exons. NCBI's taxonomy places the organism in Eukaryota, Viridiplantae, Streptophyta, Magnoliopsida, Asterales, Asteraceae.